RNAcentral lists this ribosomal RNA (492 nucleotides) under uncultured bacterium. RNAcentral's name for it is "partial 16S ribosomal RNA". It matches the Rfam family "Bacterial small subunit ribosomal RNA", at positions 29 to 507 of the family's 1533-position model. The record is from RNAcentral.
AGUGAACGCUGGCGGUAGGCCUAACACAUGCAAGUCGAACGGCAGCACAGUAAGAGCUUGCUCUUACGGGUGGCGAGUGGCGGACGGGUGAGGAAUACAUCGGAAUCUACUUUUUCGUGGGGGAUAACGUAGGGAAACUUACGCUAAUACCGCAUACGACCUACGGGUGAAAGCAGGGGAUCUUCGGACCUUGCGCGAUUGAAUGAGCCGAUGUCGGAUUAGCUAGUUGGCGGGGUAAAGGCCCACCAAGGCGACGAUCCGUAGCUGGUGUGAGAGGAUGGUCAGCCACACUGGAACUGAGACACGGUCCAGACUCCUACGGGAGGCAGCAGUGGGGAAUAUUGGACAAUGGGCGCAAGCCUUAUCCAGCCAUACCGCGUGGGUGAAGAAGGCCUUCGGGUUGUAAAGCCCUUUUGUUGGGAAAGAAAAGCAGCAGGUUAAUACCCCGCUGUUCUGACGGUACCCAAAGAAUAAGCACCGGCUAACUUCGUG